AGCCCAAAUAUCACCAGGUUCUGUGUGUCUCAGUCGCCACUGUUAGAACUGUUUGUUGUGUGAGAACUCUUUUGCCUUGCAACCUUCAAGGAAAGGGCUUCUCUCUUUGCUGCUCCUCCAACUCCAUCUCGUGGUUUACUCUCUGCGCUUAGCAGCUCAAAUGGUUGUCAGCCCAUUUUUCUUCACGAAAUUGCAGUUUCUUGGGCUCAGAUGAAAUGGGAGUGAAAUGUAGUGGGAUGGUCCUCUCUCCUCUGUGAAGUCAAUUCUCAAGGCAAAAAUUCAUAGGACAUAAUAGUGGGAGCAUGAAGCAGAGGAGUUGGAAAAGUUUAUUAUACCAGUUGGAUUCCUGAUUUCACAUGGCUUCAGGAAGCAGACAACCUUACUCAUAUGAAGUCAAACAAACUGAUUUAAGACUCUAUAGUGGCCUAUAGCAGUAAAAUUUUUGUACUCUGUAGCAUUAGAUGACUCGGUAUUUCUUUGCAGAUUGUUAUGACGAAGAAUUUUGAUAUGCCCCUUGAACCAUUGUUUCUGUUUUUCUGCUUUGAUUA
This is a long non-coding RNA of Sesamum indicum (sesame), 548 nucleotides long. RefSeq lists it as uncharacterized. The record is from RefSeq and is a predicted model, not a curated record. NCBI's taxonomy places the organism in Eukaryota, Viridiplantae, Streptophyta, Magnoliopsida, Lamiales, Pedaliaceae.